RNAcentral lists this long non-coding RNA (1744 nucleotides) under Numida meleagris (helmeted guineafowl). Its description in RNAcentral is "lncRNA (ENSNMEG00000022444.1)". Lineage: Eukaryota; Metazoa; Chordata; Aves; Galliformes; Numididae. The record is from RNAcentral.
AUUGUGCUUGUGCCUGCUGCUGCACACUCGCAGGCACGGGGCUAUAAUGAGGCGCACGCGAUCCCGGCUUCUCAACUUUGCCUUCUCGAAGGACACCGGGGUUUUAAAUCGCCUGGGCUAGAAUUACCAGGAAGGAAAAGAGAGAGAAAUGAAAUCCCAACUGUACCUGACGGCGUCUGGGAAUCCCUCGCCGGCACCGAUCAUAAUCCCCCUCCGCGCCUCUGGCCCCCCACACCAAAACUUUUCCGCUGCCGCCGCCGCUCCUCGGUUCUGACCGCCGCCCGCCGCUCCUGGCCAGCCCCUGGGGCCCGCUGCCCGCCGCCGCUCCGCUCCGGAGCGGCCCCCGCGUCUCCCUCCUCCCUUAGGAGGCAGCGGCAUCGUCCUCCCCCCUUCUCCUCCACCUCCUCCUACGGCGCGCAGCCCGCGGCUCUGGCAUCCCCAACGCACUUUCUCUCCUCGAUUCGCUCCUCUUUUCCCCGCCGCUCCUCCUUCUCCGGCAAAAAAGAAAUGAGAAGGGGCCACAGGGACGUUGCUUUCUUUUUCUUUCUUUUUUUUUUUUUUUUCUCUCUCUGUCUCUGUCCUCUAGAAAUGGUGCGAGGAUCACAUGAGACGCUGGCACGGAGACCCAGGACCCUUGGACGUCGGAGGAGGCAGCGGACACAUAGAUGUACUUACCUUCAAGUGCUACUAAUUGAAUUCCUGUUGCAUAGAGCUAUAAUCCACACUGCGUGUUCGAAGUUCUGAAACUGAUGGUUGUGCUCCCAGCUGCUCCAUGCCACAGGAAGGUGGGACAAUGCUGGAACUGGUCUGCGGGGGUAAUACUACCCAGGUGACCCUACAGGCACAUCCUGUUCUCUUACGGAAGAACCUUGGCUCAUGGAGGAAACAGUCAUUUCCUUUACAGUGGAGAUGCACUUGCAAGUGUUAGGUGUCUAUCAGCAGAACACCACUAGGUAUAUCUUUUGCAGGUGGUUUGGAGACUGCCUUCAGGAUUAGGCUUGUGAAGCACAAAGAGAGGUUCUGUGUGUUUUGUUCAGGGAUGUACAUUCUACACACACACUCACUGUUAAACCACUCAUGCAGUGCCAGAGGGAUGGAGGUUUGUGCCUCAUCUAGAAUCAAAAAUAAUGUGGACAACUAACAGAGAAGAAGCAAAGUGUUCAAUGAAGAGUGUCUGCUGUUCUUUUAGACUGAAUGUAACAGGCUGCCAAAUACAUCUAAUAUGAGUGCCCUAUCCCUACUUUCCACGAGUAAUCACAUAGCUAUCUGUACUACUGCAAAUGUUCUUGUUGGCUUGAGGAUAACAAAAAAAGAGCCAAAGAUCCUACCAUAUCGUCAGCUUUAAAUUUAGAGUAAUGAAAUAUUUCUCUGGAGUGACUGAGAAAGUUUGCAUGCCCAAUGAGACUAUGAAGAUAUGUAUUCCAUACUCCCAGUGUGUUCUUGAGUACAGCUUCUAAACUGCCUGUGCCUGGAUUUUCCUUCCAUAAUGAUGAUAAUAAUACCUUUCUUGUCAACAUUUUUCUCCUACCUAUUGAAGUUUCUGGCAAAGGAGUUAUCUGCUUAUUGGUAACUUGUGCAGAAUCUAAUGCACUGAGGCCCAGUUCCUGGCUCGUGUUCCAGGCAUUACUGUAAUAUAAAUAGUAAUAGUAUAGAUACACUCUUGAGGAUUACUAUAUAAGUAUUUAUAUAUAUGUAUAUAUGUAUAAAGACUAUGUUGAGUAAAGCAGAUAGAAUUAUACUGAAA